This 2166-nucleotide long non-coding RNA is filed under the name Fragaria vesca (wild strawberry). RNAcentral's name for it is "long non-coding RNA (FVES_LNC002921)". The record is from RNAcentral. Lineage: Eukaryota; Viridiplantae; Streptophyta; Magnoliopsida; Rosales; Rosaceae.
ACUACAACCAUCGUACCUUUAUUUAGAUUACAAGUCUUAUAAGAAGGCUCACUUAUAGUACACAUGCUUAAAACAUUUACAACCAAACAACAAACAAACUAGAAUAACGUUUCUUUUCAAAAUGUCCAUUCUUUAUUCAAGCCUUAUUUUACAAAACAAAGCAUGAAAGCCUUAAUUUAUACAUAACACUCUCUAUGCUUCACAAAUACCACCUGCAAGGGGUUUGACGAGGGGUGAGCAACGCUCAGUAGGGCUAGUUAAUAUAUUAAUAAAACAUCAUCAAACAUAAGCAAACAAACAAACAUGGCAUAUCAAGAAUGCAUGGAUGCAAUAUGAACUUAACUCUCUUCCCACACCUCACAUCACCCUCAAAUAGAUUUUCCUAUUUUGUUAGUUAUCUUGUUAUACUCACGGUUUCCAAACCCGAAACCCGAUAAGAUCGUUUUGUUGAUGUUCGCCAUCGAAAGGCAUACUUUCCCUGAAUUUGUGCACGUGUGAGCUAGCCUGGAUCUUGGAUAACCCAUGAGGAAACUCAACUACACAAAAGAUUUUUCAAUAGAAAUAUCUCAUAUCUUCCCAAACACUCGUUCUCAUUUUCACCUCCAAUCUCACUCAUUUCCCACAAUAUCAUGUAAUAUGAUUCAAAAUAAUAACACAUGCUUUCAAAUAUAGACAUAUCAUAAUCAAUUCAAAAUCUCAAUAUCAUCUACAUUUAAUUUGAAUAGUGCCACACAAUUCAAUGUCAAACAAACAAUCCAAUAUCAAAUAACUCAAGCAAUAACCACACAAUUCAUACACAAGCACAAUAAAAGAAAAUACCCCAUCAAACCCUACUUCGAUUUGCACAGCACAAAGUCGAGCUCAAACUUCACUUCUCACACUUGUGGAUCACCAAAAACGUCUCCAAAACCUUACCCAAAAGGUAAAGUACAUACAAAGAAUGGUGAGCUAGAGUUAGUAACUAUGUUAUAAGUAGGAUACAGAGUAAGAAAACUCUACUACUUUACUAAGAAAAAAAAUUUAAAUAACACUUAAAGCUAUUAAAGAGCUACUGAAAAGUAACUAAAUCAGCUGCUAGAGAAACUGAUUUAAAACUAAGUUCCUAUUUCAGCUUUAGUGGUAAAAACAGUGUACGAGAUGCUGUCUUUGGCUUCAAUUUCCACCCACUAAACUCCAACCAAAAUUACUGAACCCAAGCCUGUUUUACAGAUGGUAUUACAGGCUUUAAAUACAUAGCUUAAGUUUUGAAAACAAAGCCCUGGAUAGGAAGUUACGGUUUUGCAAAGUUGGAGUAAAAAUCUGAAAACCCAGAAAUUCCAGUUUUUGUUGAGUCUGCUACUGUUUUUGGCAAGUUAUUUGACAAACCAAAUGUUAACCAAAACCUGUAAAAUUGAGCAUGCAAAAAGAUGGAUAUAUGAGCUUUACAAAAGUACUUUCGAAUUUCAAAACAAAGGCCUGAGCUGAAAGAUAUCCUGCCUCAAAUUAGGCAAGAAAAUCAGUUUUCUGCAGAAUUUUCUAGAAAUUUACAGCAAGAAUAAGACUUGGUUUUUGGAAGCUUUAAUUCGACUUUUGAAGUAACAAAACAAGUUCUAAACCUUCAGAACAGAAAGGAACAGAUUUCCAGACCACGAAAUCAUCUUAAACAUAACAAACAAGGAAACAAAAAGACCCAAAAUUUACUCUGGACACCCAAACUGAAGAACAAGGUUCUUGAGCAGCAACCUAAAACGAUUCCAAAACAAAACAGCAUCCUUGAUUCAAAUUCAGAUUCCUAUCUAUACAAGUCUCAGAAUUCGAAAUCACCAACCAAAAUUAAACAAAGGAAUCAUAUUAAACUCAAAACAAGAAACAAGAAUCAAAGCAAACCACAAACAAAACUAUGAAACUGAAACUGAAAUUGCUAGAAGAUGAAAUGGGUUUUACCUUAGAAAAAUGAAUUGAAAAGGUUUCCUCUCUCACAACUCUCCCAAAAUCUGUCCUCUCCAGAAACUCUGUGCUAGUUUUGUCGAAGGUUUUAGCAGACUCUCCCGAUCCAUUCUAAUCUACUACAGCCUAGACUCCUAGACCUCCAGCUAGCCCCUACUCCUAUAAGCUUAGACUUAUACUCUUGAGACACCUCUUGCUUGGUAAGAUGGUGGAGCAAAGAAUAGCAAAAAGAAAAGGAAG